AUGAGGACGAAGUGACUGACACCACGCUUCCAGGAAAAGCCACUAAGCUUCAGCUUAAGAAAAACCGUACCGCAAACCGACACAGGUAGGCAGGGUGAGAAUCCCAAGGCGCUUGAGAGAACUCGGGUGAAGGAACUAGGCAAAAUGGCACCGUAACUUCGGGAGAAGGUGCGCCCUUUGGUGUGGUCACGUGCGUGACUGAGCAUCGAAGGGUCGCAGUAACCUGGCCGCUGCGACUGUUUAUCAAAAACACAGCACUCUGCAAACACGAAAGUGGACGUAUAGGGUGUGACGCCUGCCCGGUGCUGGAAGGUUAAUUGAUGGGGUCAGCCGCAAGGCGAAGCUCUUGAUCGAAGCCCCAGUAAACGGCGGCCGUAACAAUAACGGUCCUAAGGUAGCGAAAUUCCUUGUCGGGUAAGUUCCGACCUGCACGAAUGGCGUAACGACAGCGGCGCUGUCUCCACCCGAGACUCAGUGAAAUUGAAAUCGCUGUGAAGAUGCAGCGUUCCCGCGGCAAGACGGAAAGACCCCGUGAACCUUUACUAUAGCUUUACACUGAACGUUGAGUUCUUCUGUGUAGGAUAGGUGGGAGGCUAUGAAACCAGGACGCUAGUUCUGGUGGAGCCAUCCUUGAAAUACCACCCUGAAGUGCUUGACGUUCUAACCUAGGCCCGUAAUCCGGGUCAGGGACCGUGUAUGGUGGGUAGUUUGACUGGGGCGGUCUCCUCCCAAAGAGUAACGGAGGAGCACGAAGGUACGCUCAGCGCGGUCGGACAUCGCGCACUGUGUGCAAAGGCAUAAGCGUGCUUGACUGCGAGAUCGACGGAUCAAGCAGGUACGAAAGUAGGUCUUAGUGAUCCGGUGGUUCUGUAUGGAAGGGCCAUCGCUCAACGGAUAAAAGGUACUCCGGAUAACAGGCUGAUACCGCCCAAGAGUUCAUAUCGACGGCGGUGUUUGGCACCUCGAUGUCGGCUCAUCACAUCCUGGGGCUGUAGCCGGUCCCAAGGGUAUGGCUGUUCGCCAUUUAAAGUGGUACGCGAGCUGGGUUCAGAACGUCGUGAGACAGUUCGGUCCCUAUCUGUCGUGGGCGUUGGAGAUUUGAGGGGGGCUGCUCCUAGUACGAGAGGACCGGAGUGGACGUUCCGCUGGUGUUCGGGUUGUCAUGCCCAUGGCAUUGCCCGGUAGCUACGAACGGAAGUGAUAACCGCUGAAAGCAUCUAAGCGGGAAGCACGCCCCAAGAUGAGAUCUCCCGAGAGCUUGACUCUCCUAAAGGCACCAUCAAGACUAGGUGGUUGAUAGGUCAGGUGUGGAAGCGCAGCAAUGCGUUGAGCUAACUGAUACUAAUGAGCCGUGAGGCUUGACC
This 1364-nucleotide ribosomal RNA is filed under the name metagenome. RNAcentral's name for it is "bacterial LSU rRNA". It matches the Rfam family "Bacterial large subunit ribosomal RNA", at positions 1579 to 2925 of the family's 2925-position model. The record is from RNAcentral.